Molecule: ribosomal RNA, 756 nt
Filed under: uncultured Sebacina
Lineage: Eukaryota; Fungi; Basidiomycota; Agaricomycetes; Sebacinales; Sebacinaceae
Description: partial 28S ribosomal RNA
Rfam family: Eukaryotic large subunit ribosomal RNA
Source: RNAcentral
GAAUCCCGUAUAUGGCACGGACGCCCGUUGCUCUGUGAUACACUCUCGACGAGUCGAGUUGUUUGGGAAUGCAGCUCUAAAUGGGUGGUAAAUGCCAUCUAAAGCUAAAUAUUGGCGAGAGACCGAUAGCGAACAAGUACCGUGAGGGAAAGAUGAAAAGCACUUUGGAAAGAGAGUGAAACAGUACGUGAAAUUGUUGAAAGGGAAACGCUUGAAGUCAGUCGCGCCGUUCGGGAUUCAGCCUUGCUUCUGCUCGGUUUACUUCCCGUUGGGUGGGUCAACAUCAGUUUCGAUCGGAGGAGAAAGACGUGGGGAAGGUGGCAGCAUUCGUGCUGUGUUAUAGCCCCGUGUUGUAUACUUCGACUGGGACUGAGGACCGCAGCACGCCUCUGGCCGGGGUUCGCCCACGUACGUGCUUAGGAUGUUGGCAUAAUGGCUUUAAGCGACCCGUCUUGAAACACGGACCAAGGAGUCUAACAUGUGCGCGAAUGUUUGGGUGGUAAACUCGGACGCGAAAUGAAAGUGAAAAGUUGGGAACACUUAUGUGUGCACCAACGCCCGGAGCUGACCUUCUGUGACGCAUCUGCGGUAGAGCGUAUAUGUUGGGACCCGAAAGAUGGUGAACUAUGCCUGAAUAGGGUGAAGCCAGAGGAAACUCUGGUGGAGGCUCGUAGCGAUUCUGACGUGCAAAUCGAUCGUCAAAUUUGGGUAUAGGGGCGAAAGACUAAUCGAACCAUCUAGUAGCUGGUUCCUGCC